This 1327-nucleotide long non-coding RNA is filed under the name Equus caballus (horse). RNAcentral's name for it is "lncRNA (ENSECAG00000058185.1)". Lineage: Eukaryota; Metazoa; Chordata; Mammalia; Perissodactyla; Equidae. The record is from RNAcentral.
UGCUUUGGCGCGACCACUUUUCUUCUUUGUGGGCCGGCGUUUGCGUGUUUUUCUUUUUACACAACCGGGAAUAUCGGAGUAACAUUGUCUUUCUCUGUUUCCCUAGAUUUGCCAGGUAAUAUAUGGGAUGGUCAGUUAAAUUUGAAUUUCAGAUAAACAAGGAAUCAUUUUUUAGUAUAGGUAUUUCCUAAAUAUUGCAUUUGCUAAAUCUGGCAACCUUGUUUGGUCCGACAUCCCACUAUUCUCUUACCACCUCGAACUCAGUACCACGCUCCACUCUCUCCGUUUUCCCUCUGCGUAUUCUUAUCUUCACUCCCCUGUGCACCAGCGCUUAGGGUAGAUUAAGCUACAGAUAUUAAUUUCCCUGGGGACGAGGUUUCAUCCGUGAGAUUCACUGCCUGUUCCUCUUGUAAGCGCUUUUACUUGGCUGCUAGUUUUCUUUCGCGCAAACCUUAGGGCAGUUUCUCUGGUCUGUUGCUCUUGGAACAGUUUUACACGCACACAUCUUUACUAAUUUGCUUCUCUUUACAGCUCUUCCCUUUGGUUUCUGCGAAGUCCCUAAUUAUUACAAAACAGCUAGAUUGGCUGAGGGAUGGUACAGUGAAAAUGUAUGUAGAGAAGUCCGUGUUUAAAGACAAGUUUGUAUUCUUUUGUCACCUCCUGUAACCCAGGCCCUCCAGGGCCCGUUCAACUAACCCCAUCUCUUAUCAACAGAGUGAUUAAGAAUUAUCUUUCAGAAAAUCUGCAAAGUCGUAUAGCCACAGCACGCGCAAAAGAAGAAAUCUUGAACUGAAGUGAUCGGGGAACCAAGGAUCCUCCUUCCCGCGGACCAGGACAGGCCAGAACUUGAAAGUUUCCAAGGAAGAGGAUGCUUGAGCUGAGUUAUUUAAAGAAGAAUAAAGUUUCCAAUUGAAGAGGUUGAAGAAAAUUCCAUGUAAAGGAAAUAGAAUGUUUAAAAGCAGGAAGACAUAAGAAAAUAUUUCCAGGCUCAGGAGUCUGGGGAGUGUGUGGCAGAGUAAUAGGAGAUGAGCCUGGGUAUUUACCCAAGAGAAACAAAAAUACUUGUCCACUAAAAGUUUUAGAAGAGGGGCCGGCCCCAUGGCCCAGUGGUUAAAUUUGUGCACUCUGCUUCAGCAGCCCAGGGUUUUGCCAGUUCAGAUCUUGGGUGUGGACAUGGCACCACUCAUCAAGUCAUGCUGAGGUGGCGUCCUACGUAGCAGAACCAGAAGUACCUACAACUAGAAUAUACAACUACGUACUGGGAGUGCUUUGGGGAGAAGAAGAAAAAAAAACAACAGAUGGCAACAGAUGGCAACAGAUGUUAGCU